UAUGAGAGUUUGAUCCUGGCUCAGGACGAACGCUGGCGGCGUGCCUAAUACAUGCAAGUCGUACGCUUCUUUUUCCACCGGAGCUUGCUCCACCGGAAAAAGAAGAGUGGCGAACGGGUGAGUAACACGUGGGUAACCUGCCCAUCAGAAGGGGAUAACACUUGGAAACAGGUGCUAAUACCGUAUAACAAUCGAAACCGCAUGGUUUUGAUUUGAAAGGCGCUUUCGGGUGUCGCUGAUGGAUGGACCCGCGGUGCAUUAGCUAGUUGGUGAGGUAACGGCUCACCAAGGCUACGAUGCAUAGCCGACCUGAGAGGGUGAUCGGCCACAUUGGGACUGAGACACGGCCCAAACUCCUACGGGAGGCAGCAGUAGGGAAUCUUCGGCAAUGGACGAAAGUCUGACCGAGCAACGCCGCGUGAGUGAAGAAGGUUUUCGGAUCGUAAAACUCUGUUGUUAGAG
Molecule: ribosomal RNA, 462 nt
Filed under: Bifidobacterium pseudocatenulatum
Lineage: Bacteria; Bacillati; Actinomycetota; Actinomycetes; Bifidobacteriales; Bifidobacteriaceae
Description: bacterial SSU rRNA
Rfam family: Bacterial small subunit ribosomal RNA
Source: RNAcentral